UGGCGAACGGCUGAGGAACACGUGCGUUACCAUCCUCUCCGUGGGGAAUACCGGCUGGAAACAGCCGACAAUACCGCAUACGCUGGCCUUUGGUCAGGAAAGCCGUAAGGCGCGGAGAGACGGGCGCGCGGCCCAUCAGGUUGUUGGUGUGGUAACGGCGCACCAAGCCGAUGACGGGUCGCUGGUCUGCGAGGACGGCCAGCCAGACUGGGACUGCGACACGGCCCAGACACCUACGGGUGGCAGCAGCAAGGAAUCUUCCCCAAUGGGCUCACGCCUGAGGGAGCAACGCCGCGUGGAGGAUGACGGCCUUCGGGUUGUAAACUCCUUUUGUGGGGGAUGAUGAUGACAGUACCCCACGAAUCAGCCCCGGCUAACUCUGUGCCAGCAGCCGCGGUAAGACAGAGGGGGCAAGCGUUGUCCGGAAUUACUGGGCGUAAAGCGCGCGCAGGCGGCCUAGGAUGUGCCUGGUGACAAUUUCCGGCUUAACCGGGAAGGGUCUGGGUAGAC
This 510-nucleotide ribosomal RNA is filed under the name uncultured bacterium. Its description in RNAcentral is "bacterial SSU rRNA". It matches the Rfam family "Bacterial small subunit ribosomal RNA", at positions 96 to 633 of the family's 1533-position model. The record is from RNAcentral.